UACGGAGGGUGCAAGCGUUGCUCGGAAUCACUGGGCGUAAAGCGGGCGCAGGCGGUCCAGCAAGUCGGGUGUGAAAGCCCGGGGCUCAGCCCCGGAAAUGCAUUCGAAACUGCCGGACUAGAGUACGGGAGAGGGGAGCGGAAUUCCUGGUGUAGAGGUGAAAUUCGUAGAUAUCAGGAGGAACACCGGUGGCGAAAGCGGCUCCCUGGUCCGAUACUGACGCUGAGGCGCGAAAGCGUGGGGAGCAAACAGG
RNAcentral lists this ribosomal RNA (253 nucleotides) under uncultured bacterium. Its description in RNAcentral is "partial 16S ribosomal RNA". It matches the Rfam family "Bacterial small subunit ribosomal RNA", at positions 524 to 776 of the family's 1533-position model. The record is from RNAcentral.